CCCGGGGCCAAGCCGAGCCCCCGGGGCAGGCCGAGCCCCCGAGGCAGGCCGAGCCCCCGGGGCAUCCCGCGGGAGGCACAGAACGCCCGGGCAACUGCGCGCACGGGGCGGCGGCGGAGAGGUGAUUCCAGAGGUUUCCCUGAACCGACCUCUGAGAAAAUCCCUUCGCGGGAGCGACAGCUGCUCCCACGCUCCUGUUGUAACUUGGGUUUGGUUUGGUUUGGUUUUUUUUAAACCCCCUUUGUUUAAAAAUAUCCCAAGUCCAAACAGUAUUCGUUGUCGCAAACUCCAUGGGCAUGUUUACAGCGAAGUGUUACCAACGCUCACAUCGAAACGCCAGCAGUGACAACUGGAAAUCCCCCAAAUACAGGAAUAGCCCCAGAUAAGGUGCUGGGUUUUCACUUGCGCUUGAAAUUUGCAGCGUGAUCUUGUAAUGUUUUAUGUGUCUCAGCCUCUGCUUUUAUUCAGAGUUUGAAAACAUGAUUGAAACGUGCUUUAAAAUUGUUUCCAGAUGUUUUAUUUUUUUAAAAAAAGAGGGGAAAGGGGAAAAAAUAUUGUAGACACUCCAAUAAUCAAUAAAUCAGCAAUAACCUUUGCUGAAACCCAGAAAUCUGCUUUUUCCCAGUAAAGCUUGUUCCUGUUACAUAAAUGCUUUCAUGUCACCCCAGGACAGCAGCAUUUCUCCUGAAUAAAGGAAAAUCCUCUGUGAUUCUGUUAAAACCUGUGAUGACUUUUGCAGUGUCAUUUCUCCAAGAAGAUCCUGCCUGGCACCUCACAAAAGCGUCUGUCACAGGUACAAGUGCCCUUACACAGGGAAGAUUGAAGUACAGACUCUUCUGCAGCAGGACUGCACAAAAGCUAGGACAAAGACAUCAAUUCAAUAUUGGAAUGGCCAACAUGGAGAUAAGAAGACAGUUUUCUUCCCCAUGGUUUUGCCAUGAAAGGAUUUAUGCAGCACUUACUGUUCUUAUUGAGGACUGGCCUGAGUCUGUCUUGCAUAUGCUUUUAUGGCUUUUUUGCUUUUUUGCAUUACUCAGUGGAUGUUGGCAAUAAGGUUGCACUUUCUGAGUGGUCAAAUUUGUUAAUAUUAAUAGCUAAUGAUACUAAAAGCUGUUGUGCACUGCUGUGAUCAUAUUAGCUUUCCAAGCAAAACUUCCCUGAACAGAAAUAGCAGUGUGCUGGUCUGUCCUAGAUCAAAACAGCCAUCAGGCUUCCAUUUAAAAAUUCACUGAUUCUGCAUCUGUAUUCUAGUCUGGUUCAAGGCAAAGAACACUGUGUACAUUAGCAUUGCACAAGUUAGUAAUUGUUCUCGAACAUUAUGAGUUUCCGUAGAGACUGUUGGAAUUAGAUCUAUUGCUUUUCAUAGGAGAAAAACCAGGUCUAUUCAAAAAACUGCAAGGAAACUAACAGGAAAAUACUUUAAAAAGAGAUGAGAAUAUAAAAUCUUGAGAAUAUAUCCCCAUUUAUCAUAACAUCUUUC
Molecule: long non-coding RNA, 1480 nt
Filed under: Cyanistes caeruleus (blue tit)
Lineage: Eukaryota; Metazoa; Chordata; Aves; Passeriformes; Paridae
Description: lncRNA (ENSCCEG00000021765.1)
Source: RNAcentral